AACCUAGCACACCUGCGGUGUGUACCUGCGGAAGGAUCAUUACCGAGUUUACAACUCCCAAACCCCUGUGAACAUACCUAUACGUUGCCUCGGCGGAUCAGCCCGCGCCCUGUAAAACGGGACGGCCCGCCCGAGGACCCCUAAACUCUGUUUUUAGUGGAACUUCUGAGUAAAACAAACAAAUAAAUCAAAACUUUUAACAAUGGAUCU
Molecule: unclassified non-coding RNA, 210 nt
Filed under: soil metagenome
Description: partial contains 5.8S ribosomal RNA, internal transcribed spacer 2, and large subunit ribosomal RNA
Source: RNAcentral